UUCCGAAUGAAUAGGGAGGAGUUUUGCUUCCUUGUGGAGCGCCUUUGUGGAUUGGCCAAGAAGACACCGUAUUUCGAACGGCCAUUCCUCUUGAUAAGCGGAUUUCAAUCGCAUUAUACACUUUGGGAUCGUCUGCGGAGUAUCGGAUAGUGGGCACGUUGUUUGGUGUGUCAAAAGCAAUGGUCUGCAAAAUAUUGCUAGAAUUUUGCCAUGAGACAUGUAGAGUUCUGUCAUCCGACUACCUCCCGCAUAACUUCCUCACGCAAUCCAAAUUGGAGGAAUGCGUUAAAGGCUUCGAAGAAUUUGGCUUCCCACAAUGCUUAGGCGCGAUUGAUGGCUGUCAUAUUGAAAUUCAUCCAUCUGCAGCUGAUGUAGCUGACUAUUUUAAUUAUUAAGGCUGGAACUCAACUAUAUUGUUUGCAAUGGUUGAUGCUCGAUACAGAUUUCUUUAAAUAAACGUUGGAGGCCCAGGACGCUGUCAUGACUCCCAAAUUUUUGAGCGAAGUAGGCUACGUCAAUUAUUAGAUGAGUCGACACUAUUAAAGAAUAACUCGCGCAUUAUUUCGGGAGUCGAUGUGCCUGUUGUGGUGAUUGGUGAUUCGGCUUUCAAAUUUUCAAUUUUUCAAAUACUGAAAAUGUAAACUAUAAAGGCUUUUAAUUAUACUUUGGCCAAAAUCACGCAGGGUGGUCGAAAAUGCUUUCGGCCAUUUAAAAGCUCGAUUUCGGCGAAUCGGAAAAAAGCCUUGAUAACCAUUACAGUAAAACGGCUGUUGUUAUUACAGCAUGUUGCAUCUUACAUAAUUUCACCAAACGUGAAAACAUUGAUAUUCCGGGAAUUUUGGAACCAAGCCCCGAUGAACCACAACAGCCCGAGAAAAUCUUAUGAAGACGACUACGAAACAAUUGAUUUCGAUAGCGAUGCUAAUUCGUUCAGCAAUUUCAUCAUACAUUGUAAACAAUAAAUAACUGAAAUAUAAAAAAUUUGUAAUUUGUAACGCAUUUAUUUCAAUUUUUUAGU
Long non-coding RNA from Drosophila albomicans, 1018 nucleotides. RefSeq lists it as uncharacterized. The record is from RefSeq and is a predicted model, not a curated record. The transcript has 3 exons. Lineage: Eukaryota; Metazoa; Arthropoda; Insecta; Diptera; Drosophilidae.